GGGCGGGCAGCUCCUUGCUGGAGAAGCAGGGCACGUGCAAGAAAGGUGCAACAUUUUGCUUGCACGUGCUCCCCUUCUCCAACAUGGGCUCCUCACCU
RNAcentral lists this microRNA precursor (98 nucleotides) under Linum usitatissimum (flax). RNAcentral describes it as "miR164d stem-loop (lus-MIR164d)". Its record names the gene lus-MIR164d. The stretch from base 9 to 91 matches the Rfam family "MIR164 microRNA precursor family". Lineage: Eukaryota; Viridiplantae; Streptophyta; Magnoliopsida; Malpighiales; Linaceae. The record is from miRBase by way of RNAcentral.